This 73-nucleotide transfer RNA is filed under the name Candidatus Acetothermia bacterium. Its description in RNAcentral is "tRNA-Thr". It matches the Rfam family "tRNA". Rfam says of the family: Transfer RNA (tRNA) molecules are approximately 80 nucleotides in length. Their secondary structure includes four short double-helical elements and three loops (D, anti-codon, and T loops). The record is from RNAcentral. Lineage: Bacteria; Candidatus Bipolaricaulota. RNAcentral also lists the same sequence under 2 other names.
GCCCGUGUAGCUCAACCGGUAGAGCGUCCGCCUUGUAAGCGGAGGGUUGCCCGUUCGAGUCGGGCCACGGGCU